GAGAGUUUGAUCAUGGCUCAGAUUGAACGCUGGCGGCAUGCCUUACACAUGCAAGUCGAACGGUAACGGGCCUUCGGGUGCCGACGAGUGGCGAACGGGUGAGUAAUGCAUCGGAACGUACCUUUCAGUGGGGGAUAACGUAGCGAAAGUUACGCUAAUACCGCAUAUUCUGUGAGCAGGAAAGCAGGGGAUCGCAAGACCUUGCGCUGAUUGAGCGGCCGAUGUCAGAUUAGCUAGUUGGUGAGGUAAAGGCUCACCAAGGCGACGAUCUGUAGCGGGUCUGAGAGGAUGAUCCGCCACACUGGAACUGAGACACGGUCCAGACUCCUACGGGAGGCAGCAGUGGGGAAUUUUGGACAAUGGGGGCAACCCUGAUCCAGCCAUGCCGCGUGAGUGAAGAAGGCCUUCGGGUUGUAAAGCUCUUUCGGCCGGGAAGAAAUCGCAUGGGUUAAUACCCUGUGCGGAUGACGGUACCGGCAUAAGAAGCACCGGCUAACUACGUG
Molecule: ribosomal RNA, 503 nt
Filed under: uncultured bacterium
Lineage: Bacteria
Description: bacterial SSU rRNA
Rfam family: Bacterial small subunit ribosomal RNA
Source: RNAcentral